UUAACUAAACUCUGCUUUUCUCCCUUUGUUUGGUUUAUGAUUGACUUCGUGUUCGUGUCUGUGUUUGUGUUUGUGUUCAUUCUUGUUCAAGCAUUCUAAGUUAAUAGUAUAUUACAUAAACUGACUACUUGUGUGAUGAUUUAUUUAGCAGAUGGCUUCUGGAGAUUCAUAUAUGUUGCAUCUCUGAUGCGUUUGGAGAGCCGGAAAUCGUGCCUCGGGAUAUCAUGCUGAACUACCUCAGCUUCUUUGAGAUUCAAACACUUUGUCUCACUCAAAUAGGCGAGCGCAGUGGUAAAGACUAUCGUUCAGUGCCUGAAAUUUACAAAGAACUUUGUCGAGGUAAAGAAAUUUGUUGGGACGAAGGAUAUGGUAGCUGUGCAGUCGUACUACAAUGGGACGUUCCACUCUUCGCUCGAAGGAUGAAGCACACGAGACGUACAUUAGGCCGGGGAUUGUUGUAUAUAUAUAGGCUAAGGCUGCAAGGAUUUCAAUCUUGUUUCUAAAUCAUUAGAGAAUGAAAAGAUUGAAUGGAGAGGUUGGCGUUCGGAGCAGGCCACAAGCUACAGACAUGUUGCUUAUUCAAGCUCAAGUCGUAGCCUAGUUUUCCUCAUGCCCGGGAUCAAGAGACUUUCAGGAGAUGGAACAUGUGAGAGGUGAUCAGUAUUUCGAGCCUGUGGGUGACGUGUUGAGCAAGGUUGCGCGAGAGAGAUCCCUGUCAGCGCUGGUCGCGACAACGAGGCCGAAAAAAUGUGGUUGCAAAUGACCCAUUAAAACAAAACUAAAAUGUACUCCAUGUUUUAUGAUGCAUUUAUUUGAUUUACUACUA
Molecule: long non-coding RNA, 826 nt
Organism: Salvia splendens (bonfire salvia)
Lineage: Eukaryota; Viridiplantae; Streptophyta; Magnoliopsida; Lamiales; Lamiaceae
Exons: 2
Source: RefSeq, a predicted model, not a curated record